MicroRNA precursor from Gossypium arboreum, 155 nucleotides. It matches the Rfam family "MIR7502 microRNA precursor family". The record is from Rfam. NCBI's taxonomy places the organism in Eukaryota, Viridiplantae, Streptophyta, Magnoliopsida, Malvales, Malvaceae.
UGUUAAAAAGAUUAUCCAUUUGUAUUGCUAAAAUAUGACAUGGCUGAUAGAAUAAUCAAACAGUGACACGUGACAUGUCAUGUGUACUUCAUGCUAAAGUAUAGAAUCAGUUCUUAAUCCGUUUUUAAUAGUAGAUCUGGAUGAAAUUUUUAACA